GAAAAUGCAGCUUCGAGAAAGCAUUCUUCCCAAAGGAACAGAUGAUGAGUCUUUAUAUGACAAAAUUAAUAUCAUCCACCAAAUACCAGAUGCUGAUAAAAAAAAUUCAAGAAGCAAAGAUGAAACAUUAUACAGCACUCCAGCCAGAGGGCAGCAGAAACACUCAAUUAAAAAUUACUCCAAGAAUGCUAAAUGAAAAAGGAAUAUUAUUUCACACUGAAAACAUUGUAUUCUGAACUAGCAAAGCAUGUUGGUUCAGAGGUAUCAGCAUUGGCGGAACAUUACCUUCCUUUCCUCUCAGCAACUGAGACGUUGUCCUUUUACAAGUUUAUUGAACAGUAUCUCCAUCACAAUAUCUCUGUUUUCAAUUUCAUGUUUUUCAAAUUGAUUUACAAUAUAGGCACUAGAUUAACUGUUCACAAACCCAUUUAGAAAAAUUACCUGGCUUCCUGACCAUCGCUUGGUAUAAGGAUUAUUCAUGGUUGUUAACAAUAGUUUUAUUUCAUGAUUUCUUCAGACCUAUUUGUUUCAUUACUUUUUGGGAUAAUGCCUUUUCUCAGUUUUCUGGUUUUUUAUUUGGUGUUUAUGCAUUUAUGUAUUAUUUCUAAUAUCCAUACAUUAUAAUGUGACCCUGAAGGGAAAAAGAAGGUUACAAAAUGAAUGGAUGUGUGGAUAAUCAUAUAUACAGGUUCUUGCAUUUAAUUAAAGAUGCAAAGGCAAAGAGAUUUACAUUAAUUUCUCAAAGAAAAAACUAUUUUAAAAAGAAUCUUAAUCACAUCAUAAGAAAGCUGUGCAUUCCAUUUAAUUAUUUUUAACUGUGGAAUGUCACUGAUUUUGUUUUACUGAGUAGAGCCACACUGGAACUGCUCAUCUCUAACUUGUAUGUAAUAUUUUCUUACUUUUAAUGCUCAUCAGUAGCAUUAUAAUUGAUUUAUCUACAAUUUGAGACUGUGAUGUUACUUCAUGUUCAUACUGUAUAUAGCUCAAUGCUUUUUUCUGCACAAGCAUUCUGGACAUAUUGUAUUUUAGUGCACACCUUUGUGUACUAAACUAUGGCAACUUUUUUCUUCUUCAUCUUUUCUCACUUCUAUGUGGAGUCAAUGUUUUAUAAUGUUUUUUCCCAUAUGCUUAAAAUGUGACAGGUUGCCUCAUCUCAAACCAUUUUUACUUUUUCUAAAUUGUUCAUGUAUAUUAAACAUAUUAUUGCAAUGCCUCUUUUAGCACAAUUUUGGAAUUGUCCCCAAAUUUUAAUUGAAGAUUUCUAAUCCAGUCUUACAGUAUUAUGCCAGUCUUAAAAUCCCCACUAGCCUGUAUCUCCUGGAUCAAUACUUUCUACUUCCUCUAUUACUUUCUGUCCUUUAACAUAUUUUGCAUUAAAUAAUUAUUUUUUAUAAUAUGAUUUUGCAUAAUGACUUCCUGUCUCAGGAUCAAGAUUUCAUAAGAGGAGAAAUAUCCAGAUGUCUUAAUCCACUUGGCAAGCAAUACAAAUGGGCUUUACACCUAAUUCAUUUUGUGUGAAUGUUUAAACAUUAAAACUUAAUUUGUUCAACUGUGACAUACAAAUAUUGAAAUAUGUAACCUUGGGCUAUGCUUAUUAUAAAGAAUAAAAUGCCAGUUCAGCUUU
Long non-coding RNA from Polypterus senegalus (gray bichir), 1624 nucleotides. RefSeq lists it as uncharacterized. Lineage: Eukaryota; Metazoa; Chordata; Cladistia; Polypteriformes; Polypteridae. The transcript is spliced from 5 exons. The record is from RefSeq and is a predicted model, not a curated record.